Astyanax mexicanus (Mexican tetra) is the source of this 1565-nucleotide long non-coding RNA. RefSeq lists it as uncharacterized. NCBI's taxonomy places the organism in Eukaryota, Metazoa, Chordata, Actinopteri, Characiformes, Acestrorhamphidae. The record is from RefSeq and is a predicted model, not a curated record. The transcript is spliced from 2 exons.
UACUACUCUGCUCUACUACUCUGCUCUCCUACUCUGCUCUCUACUACUCUGGUCUGCUGCUGUGCUGGUCUGCUGCUGUGCUGCUCUGCUGCUGAAAGCUUGCUUUAAUCUUCAGCUUCUACACUUUUCUCUGUUUUCUUCUCUUUUACUCUCUUCACACUUACUAAUCCACUUUUAGUCUGCUUCCUCUUUGCUCUACACACCUAUUAAUGCACUCUCAGUCUACUUUUAUAGACUUUUUCCUCAGGUUUGCUGGAUUAGCUGUUUGCUGCUGCAGUUUGUUUGUGUAAGUUUCUAAUUUCAACUGAAACAAGUUACUGACUGCCCACCUGUCUGACCCGAUACCGAUGUUGGACCCUCAGGCUCUCGCGUCUCCUGUCCAGCCAGACUGAUGGAAGUUUCUGAAGUCAGCUCUUCUCCACCACCACCACAGAUCAGCUGCUCAUCGACCAUCUUACUCUCCACUACUGAUUACAUCCAAGCCAUUAGUGGCGCUAUUACACUCCUGAGUACAUAAAACCUAUAUGGAUGUAUAAAAGACUUUUUAAAUUUUAAUUUAAAAGCCGUUUGACCAGUGGUAGGAUGGUCCCCCCUUUAAUGUGAGUCUUGGUCCUCCCAAGGUUUCUUCCUCCUCCUGCAGCUCUGAGGGAGUUUUUCCUUGCCUCCGCGCUCAUUGGGGGUUCUGUAUUAUGUAUAUUCUAUGUUUAAUGUUUUGCCUGAUUCUUUGUCCUGUAAUCAUGUUUCUGUAAAGCUGCUUUGUGCCAACACCUGUUGUAAAAAGCGCUAUACAAAUAAAUUUGAUUUGAUUUGAUUUGAUUUGAUGGCCGCCGGGCAUUAGCUGAACCCCGCGGCGGGGGCAGUGACUGAUAACCGAGGGGCAGUGGCUGAACCCCCGGGGUAUUAGGUGAACCCCGCGGCGGGGGCAGUGGCUGAUAACCGCGGGGCAGUGGCUGAACCCUUGGGGUAUUAGCUGAACCCCGCGGCGGGGGCAGUGGCUGAUGGCCGCCGGGCAUUAGGUGAACCCCGCGGCGGGGGUAGCAACAGGACAGGGAUAGUUUAAGUAUUUACUGCUGCUGCUAAAAUACGUGCCACAAAACAUAGUUUGGUGUUCAUAACUCAACUCUCUCAUCGUAACGCAGCUUGACUGACAAGGAGGGUCCGCAUCAAGCACUUCCUGUGUGUUAGACCCUCCCUUUCCUUCAGAAAUCGCAGUUUGUAAAAGUGUUUCAGCGUUUGUAAAAGUGUUUCAGCGUUUGUAAAAGUGUUUCAGCGUUUGUAAAAGUGUUUCAGCGUUUGUAAAAGUGUUUCAGCGUUUGUAAAAGUGUUUCAGCAUUUGUAAAAGUGUUUUGCGUCUUGUAAAUUUGUUUUAAGUUUUGUAAAUGUGUUUUAGUUUUUGUAAAUGUGUUUUAGUUUUUGUAAUUUUGUUUUCUGACAUGUUAAUUUGUUUUGCACUUCAGGGCCACCACAUUGGUGCUCAUCACCCUAAAAGCUCCAAUCCUAGAAUUGUUCAUGCAUUCUAGCCUGCAUUUAAAAAGUGCUGUCUAAAGCUUCAGGUUUGAGGCAAA